UGCUUGCUUCGGCAGCACUUUACUAAAAUUGGAAUGAUACAGAGAUUAGCGUGGCCCCUGCACAAGGAGGACGUGCACAUCCAUGAAGUGUUCCAUAGUUAA
RNAcentral lists this small nuclear RNA (102 nucleotides) under Macaca mulatta (Rhesus monkey). Lineage: Eukaryota; Metazoa; Chordata; Mammalia; Primates; Cercopithecidae. The record is from RNAcentral.